Molecule: long non-coding RNA, 2084 nt
Filed under: Daucus carota (carrot)
Lineage: Eukaryota; Viridiplantae; Streptophyta; Magnoliopsida; Apiales; Apiaceae
Description: long non-coding RNA (DCAR_LNC007300)
Source: RNAcentral
CAUCUCGUAAUCUCUAGACCAUCUCUAGCUAUACUCUAUUCGCCACAUCGCUUCGCUUAUUCGAUUUAUCCCUUACUCGCUUUGCAAUACCAUUUCGACUUCCUGACGUCUUCGAGUGUACACGUCUCGUCCAAAUCCUUUACGAGAAUAAGAUAAUACUAUAGUCACUAAACAAUAUAUCGCAUAUACAUAUCACGUAUACCGAUACCCACUUAUAUAUCCCUUUAAACUUAUCAGAUACCACGUAACAUAUAAGCAUGCUUUGACUCUAACAUAUAGUCAAUCAUAUUCCACAUAACAUAUCACCAAUCAAUUAUCAUAUAAAUCCUUUCGAAAAUCCGACAUCGUCUCAUCUAUUUAUAGGACUAUCCACCUGUCAACCUAUUCCCAACCAACAACCAAUCAACCAACUCCAGUCACCAUAAUCCAUAUAUCCUUAUCCAAUAUCAGUCCUACUAAUCAUUUAUCACUUCACAAUAUCAAAAUUAACACGUACUUCACAUAAUCAUCACUUGAUAGCACUUAGAUCACAUAUUAUAACAUUAUGCAUACUUAUCACCAAUUAUUCACCUUAUAGACUCAGCCAUAUAGUCACAUCAUAUUAAAAUAGACGUUAUAAGCUUCUGUCUCUUUUUCGUUUCACUUGAUUCCGACUUACGGAUCAAAAGUUAUGCUCAAAACAGUUUUCUCACUCUCCUAUCGGCACAUAACACAUCCAACCAAUAGCAGACAACACACAACACAUAAGGUUUCCCAUUCCAAUCGAUAUUAAAUCAAGCCUUGGGUUAAAAAUGAUUUUUCGGGAAUUUUCCAGAAUUUUUUAAACAUUUUUCGGAAUUAAAAUCGAUAAAAGAAUCACUUUUCGAAUAAAUAAUCAAGUCCCAAAUACUUGAAAUUGGACUUGAAAUCAUUCAUAAACAAUUAUCGAGCCUUGAAAAUAAUUUGGAAAAAUAUUUUAAAGCUCGAAACUAUUUUUCGGAAUUUUUAAAUCAAAAAGGAUUAAUUAAAUCCAAUUAAUUAAUCAAUUAAAAUCAAUUAAUAAUUAAUUAAAAUAAUUAAUCAAUUAAUAUUUAAAUUAAUUGACCAAUUAAAAUAAUUAAUUACUAAUUAAAAUUAAUUAACAAACUAAUUUAGAUUUAUUUUUGAAUAAAGAAAUAAUUAAAAACUAUUUUUGGAAUUUAAAAUAAUUAAAUAAAACAAUUUUAGAAAAUUAAAUCAAAAGGUUUAUUUUGUAAACUUUUGAAAGUUUUGUCCAGGGUUUAAAGUGUAACUUUCAGAAGUUUCAGGGGCUGAAAUGCAAACUUUGAAACCACAGUACCUCAGCUUCAUCAUUCUCAAAAGCUGAGGUACCUAACUGUAAUUUUACGACGGCCACCGACAAACUCGCCGGAUUUAUGCCGGAAUCCAUUUUCAGUGCCCAGAACUCCACCCAAAGCUCCAGAUACAUCCUAACCACUGCCAGGAACUUGUACAUGCACUCAGAAUCGCCAGAAACCGUGGAAGUUCGCCGGAAAAGUCAAAGAAAAUCCCGCCGCCGGCGGUUUUCUUCCAGAACUCGGCGAGCUUCUCAGGCCUUCUCCACUGUUAACAUACAUAUGAAUCGAUUCCUCUUCUCCUCCUCUAUCCAUCCAUAUAUACCACCAUCUCCCAGAUUUAACAGAAUGAAAAUCCGGCCGAAAUUUAAAGAUUUCCGGCAAAACUCAAGAACACUCAAGAACACUUGAAUUCUCAAAAUCAAACCACUGUUUCUAUAUGAUUCCGAACUCCAAAUUCGACAUAUAAUAUACCAAAACGACGAGAAAAACACGCUCUACAACAUGGUAUCAUCAAAAUAAUCAAACAAUCACGUUUGCAAAAAUUCAUAUUUCAAAUCAAUAUAACUCGAAUUUUCAACAAUUAAUAGUAAUUUACCUGUUGAAUCUGCACACAAACGAAUGAUUAAACUAUAAUCUACACGUCGAUAGCUUCGUUUUGACUAUUCAUACGCCUCCAUCGGAUUCCAAUAACACCUUCAAAUCUUCGUUUGAUUAUGAAGAACACGAAGAACAUACUUCGGUUUCUCUCGGUAUUCGUGCAGAGAAACU